RNAcentral lists this ribosomal RNA (243 nucleotides) under Triticum aestivum (bread wheat). RNAcentral's name for it is "partial small subunit ribosomal RNA". Lineage: Eukaryota; Viridiplantae; Streptophyta; Magnoliopsida; Poales; Poaceae. The record is from RNAcentral.
AUGAAAAUAGUAAGCUGGAACUGCCGAGGGUUGGGGAAAGGCCCGACGGUUCAAAGUCUCCUUGAAAUGGGGAGAGUGGAGGACCCCGAUGUACUCUUUAUGUCGGAAACUCGGAUAACGGAAAAGGAAUUAGACAAGUUUAGAUAGUCUCUAGGUCUAACUCAGAUGCUUGCGUGGGAUCCGACUGGAUGGAGUAGGGGGAUUGCACUGUUUUGGAGAAGGGGGCUGAAUCUAUCUCUGUGA